AACGGUCUAUACCUGCGGUACCUGCGGAAGGAUCAUUAACGAGUGUAACUUACCCUUUUUUUUAAAAGAGGGUAGUACCUCCUGUCCUUUGUAGGCCCCUUUUUAUUGGGGGGCUUUUUAAGACUUUCUGCUUCGGCGGGGUUAUUCCCGCCGGAACACCCUCAAAAAACUCUUCAAAAACUAAUUCAGUCCGAGAAUUUUUGAAAAUAAAAAAAACUUUUAACAACGGAUCUCUAGAUC
RNAcentral lists this unclassified non-coding RNA (240 nucleotides) under soil metagenome. RNAcentral describes it as "partial contains 5.8S ribosomal RNA, internal transcribed spacer 2, and large subunit ribosomal RNA". The record is from RNAcentral.